GACGAACGCUGGCGGCGUGCUUAACACAUGCAAGUCGAACGAUGAAGCCUUCGGGUGGAUUAGUGGCGAACGGGUGAGUAACACGUGGGUAAUCUGCCCUGCACUCUGGGAUAAGCCUUGGAAACGGGGUCUAAUACCGGAUAUCACAACUCUUCGCAUGGGGGGUUGUUGAAAGUUUUGGCGGUGCAGGAUGAACCCGCGGCCUAUCAGCUUGUUGGUGGGGUAGUGGCCUACCAAGGCGACGACGGGUAGCCGGCCUGAGAGGGUGACCGGCCACACUGGGACUGAGACACGGCCCAGACUCCUACGGGAGGCAGCAGUGGGGAAUAUUGCACAAUGGGCGAAAGCCUGAUGCAGCGACGCCGCGUGA
This 370-nucleotide ribosomal RNA is filed under the name uncultured bacterium. RNAcentral describes it as "bacterial SSU rRNA". It matches the Rfam family "Bacterial small subunit ribosomal RNA", at positions 28 to 404 of the family's 1533-position model. The record is from RNAcentral.